GCCUACGACCAUCUCACCCUGAAUGCGCCCGAUCUCGUCUGAUCUAGGAAGCUAAGCACAGUCGACGACCUGGUUAGUACUUGGAUGGGAGACUGGCCUGGGAAUACCAGGUGUUGUAGGAU
This 122-nucleotide ribosomal RNA is filed under the name Petromyzon marinus (sea lamprey). Lineage: Eukaryota; Metazoa; Chordata; Hyperoartia; Petromyzontiformes; Petromyzontidae. The record is from RNAcentral.